AUGGGGAGCAGAAUCAGGGCGCCUCACCCAUGGCCUGGACCCCCCCUCCUCCUCAACUUUCUGGCUCACUGCACAAGUGCUGUGGCCUCCUAUGUCCUGAACCAGCCGUCAUCAGUGACUGUGACCCUGAGGCAGCCGGCCCACAUCACCUGUGGGCGAGACAGCAUCGGAAGUAAAAAUGUUCAAUGGUACCAGCAGAAGCCGGGCCAGGCCCCCGUGCUGAUUAUCUAUGGUGAUAGCCUCAGGCCGACAGGGAUCCCUGAGCGAUUCUCUGGAGCCAACUCCGGGAACACGGCCACCCUGACCAUCAGCGGGGCCCUGGCCGAGGAUGAAGCUGACUAUUACUGCCAGGUGUGGGACAGCAAUGCUGAUGCUCACAGUGACACAGGCAAAUGGGGAAGUGAGACAUGA
Molecule: non-coding RNA, 411 nt
Organism: Nyctereutes procyonoides (raccoon dog)
Lineage: Eukaryota; Metazoa; Chordata; Mammalia; Carnivora; Canidae
Source: the annotation of a RefSeq genome assembly